Long non-coding RNA from Symphalangus syndactylus (siamang), 1347 nucleotides. RefSeq lists it as uncharacterized. NCBI's taxonomy places the organism in Eukaryota, Metazoa, Chordata, Mammalia, Primates, Hylobatidae. The record is from RefSeq and is a predicted model, not a curated record.
CCUGGGGACACGUUGGGGUUGGGGUUAGGGCGGAGGUGGUGCGCCCCAAAUCCACCAAACUGCACCACAGGCCUUUCCGAGGAUCCCUGAGCCUCCGCCCGGAGCCCAGGCCGUCACAGCGCCACUUCAGCAGGAAAUCCCUCCCCUGGAGCCCAGCCGCCGCCGCCGCCGCCGCCGCCUCCUCCCACGCGAAGCUUCCGUCAACCCCAAGGCCCACCUCCUCGACAAAGGACCACCCCUUGCUCCCUGGCCACCGUCCUCUCCGCCCAACCCCGGCGGUUUAUUUACAAUCCUGCGCUGAGUCGUUCACCGAAGAUGGCGCCCAGUGAAGUCGCCUGCCUUGUUCGCGGCCCACCCCGAGGCGGUCACACCCCUGUCCCGCCCCCGCAGCUCCAAAAAUCAGGCGGAAACACCGGAGCAAAAACUGUAUUUACACAACACGGGGUUAUACAAAGAUUUAAAAAGGCGGAGUGAGUAGACGAUGGUCAGGAGGGGCCACAGCGCUGGCCGGCGGCGAGACCCAGGAUGUUUGCCUGCAACACAGGAGGGAGACAGCGACGUUAGAGAGGGGCGUGGGGCGCAGGACAGGCAGAGGAGGGGCAGGGCCGUGACUUCACCUUAAGGAAGGACUCCAUCUGUUUCCCUGUUAUGCCCUCCACGCGUUCCAGGUCCUCCACCUGGCGGGACAGGAUCGAUGGGGGACAGGGUCUCGGGGGUACCCGGUCUCCCCCACCCUUCCCCAGUCCAGUGGGCUACUACCUGGCUGAAGGGGCCGUGGAGCUCCCGCCAGCCCACGAUUAGCUGGGCCUUCUUCGGGCCAAUGCGCUGAAGACUGCGGAGAUCUCGGGCUGAGCCUUCGUUCAGCAGAUCCAGUAUUUUUUGGCGCCCAUGAGCCAGUAGCUCCGGGCUGAUCUGUAGCUCCCAGCAGUCCUCAGCCUUCUCCUCAGGCUCUAGGGCAUCCAGGGACUCCAGCUGGGAGGCAAAGGGAGAUGAGUGACACGCAGGGCAGCCAAGUGCUUUGGACUCCUCUGCCAAGACUAGAAGCCCAGCACCAGCUACCUCCUGCGCUCCAGCCUCUUCCUCUCCUGUCAAGUGUGUCCAAAAUCCCGCCCUCAGAUCACUCUUAAUUCUCAUUAUACAACUAGUGAAAGAGAGGUACUACUUAGUACCCAGUGGUAAUAUUAGCACCCCUUCUCAUGGAGUUGCUGUGGAGAUCAAGUGAGUUAAUGAAUGUAAAGCACAAAAUAAGCUCUUAAAUCUGGUCCCUCAUCUCUAAAAGGGAAAUAAACUGUCUUUCAAAAGUACAUGGGAGAAAGUAAUAUGAAUAAAUGAUAACUCCCCCAACCA